RNAcentral lists this ribosomal RNA (199 nucleotides) under uncultured bacterium. Its description in RNAcentral is "partial 16S ribosomal RNA". It matches the Rfam family "Bacterial small subunit ribosomal RNA", at positions 328 to 538 of the family's 1533-position model. The record is from RNAcentral.
ACGCUCGACACCUACGGGAGGCAGCAGUGGGGAAUAUUGCACAAUGGGGGAAACCCUGAUGCAGCGACGCCGCGUGAGUGAAGAAGUAUUUCGGUAUGUAAAGCUCUAUCAGCAGGGAAGAAAAUGACGGUACCUGAGUAAGAAGCCCCGGCUAACUACGUGUCAGCAGGCCGGGUAAUCUGAGCGGGCUGGACAAGGC